CGAAAGCCUGACGGAGCAACGCCGCGUGAGGGAGGAAGGCCUUCGGGUUGUAAACCUCUUUUCUCAAGGAAGAAGUACUGACGGUACUUGAGGAAUAAGCCUCGGCUAACUCCGUGCCAGCAGCCGCGGUAAGACGGAGGAGGCAAGCGUUAUCCGGAAUUAUUGGGCGUAAAGCGUCCGUAGGUGGUUAUUCAAGUCUUUUGUUAAAUAGUGGAGCUUAACUCCAUAGAGGCGGAAGAAACUGAGUAACUUGAGUGCGGUAGGGGUAGAGGGAAUUCCAGGUGUAGCGGUGAAAUGCGUAGAUAUCUGGAAGAACACCAGUGGCGAAGGCGCUCUACUGGGCCGUAACUGACACUGAGGGACGAAAGCUAGGGGAGCG
Molecule: ribosomal RNA, 379 nt
Filed under: uncultured cyanobacterium
Lineage: Bacteria; Bacillati; Cyanobacteriota
Description: bacterial SSU rRNA
Rfam family: Bacterial small subunit ribosomal RNA
Source: RNAcentral